GUACCCUUAGCUCAGUUGGUUAGAGCAGACGGCUCAUAACCGUCCGGUCGUAGGUUCGAGUCCUACAGGGUACAU
RNAcentral lists this transfer RNA (75 nucleotides) under Enterococcus faecium E1071. RNAcentral describes it as "tRNA-Met". It matches the Rfam family "tRNA". Rfam says of the family: Transfer RNA (tRNA) molecules are approximately 80 nucleotides in length. RNAcentral also lists the same sequence under 1 other name. Lineage: Bacteria; Bacillati; Bacillota; Bacilli; Lactobacillales; Enterococcaceae. The record is from RNAcentral.